GCGGGACCGGAGGAAUCCUGCAUGAACCAGCCAGCACCAUCUGGUAAGGCUAAAUACUCCUCAGACACCGAUAGUGAACCAGUACCGUAAGGGAAAGGUGAAAAGUACCCCGAAUAGGGGAGUGAAAUAGUACCUGAAACCGUGCGCUUACAAGCGGUCGGAGCUCUCAAGAGUGACGGCGUGCCUUUUGCAUAAUGAGCCUACGAGUUGCUCCUAACUGGCGAGGUUAAGUUCUUCAGUAACGGAG
This 247-nucleotide ribosomal RNA is filed under the name Streptomyces sp. UMAF16. RNAcentral's name for it is "partial 23S ribosomal RNA". It matches the Rfam family "Bacterial large subunit ribosomal RNA", at positions 417 to 665 of the family's 2925-position model. Lineage: Bacteria; Bacillati; Actinomycetota; Actinomycetes; Kitasatosporales; Streptomycetaceae. The record is from RNAcentral.